GGGGCAGCGGGAAGGUUAGCUUGCUAACCUUUGCCGGCGACCGGCGCACGGGUGAGUAACACGUAUGCAACCUGUCCGGUACAGGGGGAUAAGCGGCGGAAACGCCGUCUAAUACCGCGUGACAACCCGAGGGGGCAUCCCCUUGGGUUCAAAGGAGAGAUCCGGUACCGGCUGGGCAUGCGGCGCAUUAGCUAGUUGGCGGGGCAACGGCCCACCAAGGCGACGAUGCGUAGGGGUUCUGAGAGGAAGGUCCCCCACACUGGAACUGAGACACGGUCCAGACUCCUACGGGAGGCAGCAGUGAGGAAUAUUGGUCAAUGGGCGCAAGCCUGAACCAGCCAAGUCGCGUGAGGGAAGACGGCCCUACGGGUUGUAAACCUCUUUUGCCGGGGAGCAAGCCUGAGCACGUGUGCCCAGGCGGAGAGUACCCGGAGAAAAAGCAUCGGCUAACUCCGUGCCAGCAGCCGCGGUAAUACGGAGGAUGCGAGCGUUAUCCGGAUUUAUUGGGUUUAAAGGGUGCGCAGGCGGGCUGUUAAGCCGGCGGUAAAAAUUCAGGGCUCAACCCUGUCGAGCCGUCGGAACUGGCAGUCUUGAGUGGGCGAGAAGUAUGCGGAAUGCGUGGUGUAGCGGUGAAAUGCAUAGA
This 643-nucleotide ribosomal RNA is filed under the name uncultured bacterium. Its description in RNAcentral is "bacterial SSU rRNA". It matches the Rfam family "Bacterial small subunit ribosomal RNA", at positions 66 to 694 of the family's 1533-position model. The record is from RNAcentral.